Cinara cedri is the source of this 267-nucleotide non-coding RNA. Lineage: Eukaryota; Metazoa; Arthropoda; Insecta; Hemiptera; Aphididae. The record is from the annotation of a GenBank genome assembly.
AAAAAAAAACACAGAAAUAUCGAGUAGGGCUUAACAUUAAACAUUUGAUGGCUGUUCGAAUAUCCUCUCGAUAUUUGUUUUCGUUCUCGUUCAAAUCAUACUCUUCACAAUGACCUUCAUAUCGAAACUUUUGAUGAAGAAACUAAAAUCAACUACAGCCGAUCCGUUUAAUAAACUUACCCCCCACUACAAACAGCUCAUAAACAAUGUGCACAGACCAAUCCGUCCCGGAAAACCCGGUCACAAGCUUAAAAGAACAUGGUAUCC